GACGGAGGGUGCAAGCGUUGUUCGGAAUUACUGGGCGUAAAGCGCGCGCAGGCGGUCUUCUAAGUCCUUUGUGAAAUCCCGGAGCUCAACUCCGGAUAUGCAGAGGAUACUGGGAGACUAGAGACCGGUAGAGGUUAGUGGAAUUCCUGGUGUAGCGGUGGAAUGCGUAGAUAUCAGGAGGAACAUCAGUGGCGAAGGCGACUAGCUGGGCCGGAUCUGACGCUCAUGUGCGAAAGCGUGGGGAGCAAACAGG
RNAcentral lists this unclassified non-coding RNA (253 nucleotides) under uncultured Gemmatimonadota bacterium. RNAcentral's name for it is "uncultured Gemmatimonadetes bacterium contains 16S-23S intergenic spacer region". It matches the Rfam family "Bacterial small subunit ribosomal RNA", at positions 524 to 776 of the family's 1533-position model. The record is from RNAcentral. Lineage: Bacteria; Pseudomonadati; Gemmatimonadota.